RNAcentral lists this unclassified non-coding RNA (18 nucleotides) under synthetic construct. Its description in RNAcentral is "RNA (5'-R(*AP*AP*AP*UP*CP*GP*GP*GP*AP*UP*UP*CP*CP*GP*GP*AP*UP*A)-3') from synthetic construct (PDB 7R9G, chain B)". The record is from RNAcentral.
AAAUCGGGAUUCCGGAUA